GACGAAAUGGCGAGUCUAGUCGUGGGGUUGCCAUGGCUUCGGAUUUGGGUGUUUCCCGAGCUCCAUCCUCCCUUCUCCCGUCCAGGGCUACCUCUCGAUUCACCGGAGAAAUCUCUCCGUCUCGGCUUCCUCCGCCACUGGUCUCCAGGAGGGCGAGGUGCGCGUCCGUUUCGCUCCGUCGCUGACCGGGAAUCUGCACGUCGGAGGCGCGAGGACGGCGCUAUUCAACUACCUGUUUGCCAGGUGGAUGAACGGUCAACAUUUAAGAUCUCUUCCUUCAUAAGGGUUGAUCAAGAUUUUUGGGGAUAGAUAGAAGUCCACAGACAUUCUCCUACAAUCUGAUAGUGAAUUUGUAAAGGAUGCGACUGAACUAUUGAAGGAUGGAAUUGAUUUGGUAACAUACAGACAAGGCUCUAGUGAAUUUGUUGUCUUAUCCUCUGCACUCUACUCUAGCCAGUGCUGAAUGUAAACCUGUUCUACAAGAUAAGCUCUCAGAGGUGUUUGCCAGCUAGAUAUCUUCUUAUGAUUGUGGAGAGCUCCGUGAAGCACCGAAGGAAAGGUCAUGCAGGCUGGCAAAAAUGGGUGAAAUGCUUCGGCAAGCUCCUGAAGCGCAAGGUCAGAUUCAACUGAUGCAUGGAGUUGAUUAUCUUCUCGACAAC
Molecule: non-coding RNA, 659 nt
Organism: Musa acuminata subsp. malaccensis (wild Malaysian banana)
Lineage: Eukaryota; Viridiplantae; Streptophyta; Magnoliopsida; Zingiberales; Musaceae
Source: RefSeq, a predicted model, not a curated record